CCUUGCUGGAAACAGGCCACAUCCUCUAUAGCAGGGAAAGAAAGAGACUAUUUCCAGAUGACCUUUUGCAGGCACAUCAGCUGAUAGCAGAAGACCCUUCUGCCUUGGAAUCAAAGGAUGAGAAGAUGGAGACAUAGGAAAUAAUGGAAUUGUUGCUGAUAGCAGAUUCAUGGAAUACAUUUGUUUAAUCAUUGAAAUUAUUAGCAGCUGCUCUGGAGAUAUAAGGAUAGGGUCACCGUUUGUUGUCCAUAUCAUUCUUCACAGAGACCACAGUGGAAGAGGUUCCUUUCCUCAUUUCACUGGCCACAACUCCUGGAUAUCCUGGAUUGGAUUUCCUAUGACUUUCAACCUUAAAUUAUACCCCAUCGAAACUCUAAUCAAGGUAAAGAUAAAAUAAAGAUAUUUUAAAAAUCAUAAGCAAUCAAAGUAUGUAUUGCCUUCUUAGGAAGAUUCUAGAAUAUAUUCUCUGAUAUAAUAAGGUAUUAGGCCAGUAAUAAAGAAGACACAGAAUUAAUGAGAGGGGAAGGAAACAAAGAAAAGGGGAAAAAAGAAAUCAAAGAUGAGAGUAAAAAGAAGUCCAAGCUUAAAUUUAAGCAGCCACCCUAGGAAACAGUCAGUCCAAUUGGAGCAGGGCAGAGGAAUCAAGAAUGGGUAUUUCAGGGAAAAAACAAAAAAAAACAAAAAAACAGUAGUAGUAAAUUACCAGUGUUUGUCUGUAUUGUGGAAAAGUUCAUGCAAAGGCAGAGAGGAAGAGCAGAGCCCAAGAUGUUCAAGACAGGGCUAGUGUGUAGCAAGUAAGUGAUGUGGACACACACAGCCACUUUUCCUGCUGGUUUCCCAGGUAAAAUCAAAAGGCCCUCAUGCCAGCCAGGCGCAGUGGCUCACUCCUGUAAUCCCAGCACUUUGGGAGGCCGAGGCGGGCAGAUCACGAGGUCAGGAAAUCGAGACCAUCCUGGCUAACAUGGUGAAAUCCCGUGUCUACUAAAAAUACAAAAAAUUAGCCGGAGGUGGUGGCAGGCGCCUGUAGUCCCAGCUA
This 1036-nucleotide long non-coding RNA is filed under the name Pan troglodytes (chimpanzee). Its description in RNAcentral is "long non-coding RNA NONPTRT005173". Lineage: Eukaryota; Metazoa; Chordata; Mammalia; Primates; Hominidae. The record is from RNAcentral.